UAUGUGACCGUCUGGACACAGAAACGAAGAGGUAUGGAGAUGUUUGUUCACAUUAUGGUGUUGACAGAUAUGAAAUGGCCGCAAAUUUUACAAAACAUGGUGAAAGAACACCAGGAGCCCUAUUAGAAUACUUGGCAGUCCAUCAACCAAAGCUAACAGUUGCCGAGUUUGCGAGUGUGUUAAAAAAAAAUUGAACAGAGAAAUGACUUUGUCGGGAAUCUAAAGGAAUAUGGUUACCAUGCUUCUAGACCAAUCCCGAAAAGAAUUGCUACUUCUGAAGACUCUGCAUUUGGCACGCUUCAUGAUGUAAAGGUCACGGAUGAGGCAAAUCUUCGGAAAAAUAAAGUAGGUCUAAAUGACAGCAACGAAAGUGCCUUUUUACCCGAAGGCUCUGAAGUAGAAGAGAAAUUCAACAAUUCCGGCGGCGAGUCGAGUGCUGCUCAUGA
Molecule: non-coding RNA, 446 nt
Organism: Pocillopora verrucosa
Lineage: Eukaryota; Metazoa; Cnidaria; Anthozoa; Scleractinia; Pocilloporidae
Source: RefSeq, a predicted model, not a curated record